UGAAUAAGAUAAAAGAGAAAGAAAAAAGAAAAAAAAGAAAAAUCAAACGGCAGAGUUGCAUGCGAUGAGUAUGAAUGUGUCGUAUUUGUUCUUUUUU
RNAcentral lists this non-coding RNA (97 nucleotides) under uncultured Geminigera. The record is from RNAcentral. Lineage: Eukaryota; Cryptophyceae; Pyrenomonadales; Geminigeraceae.